GGCAGAUUAGAUUGUGAUCUGGAAGCAACAUCUCCAGCAUUUUGGAAGCACUGUGUUUUACUUCCCCCUCUUGAAGAUCAUUGCAUGAGCCAGGGAAAGAAGGCUAAUUUCAGUAGAUGAGGAAAACCAGAUAACUUGUAGUAAGUGGAAUGAGAUGGAUUGUUACAUCAUGAAAUAUAGCAUGCCAAGGAUUAUAUAAGAUAAAAACAAAGAUGACUUUGUGACUCUAAGACACAAAAGAUUUUGAGAAUGCCCAGAUUCUUCAGCGAGAAGGAGAUUUUCAGCACUGGCUGUAUUGAUUUUUCUUCCUGGGAGUUUGAGGAAGCCCCUUAAGCAGCUGAUCUUCAUUCCAAGCUGGCCCUAGAAGCUGCCUGAUGGUGCUGCAAAGCAAGUGGUGGGUACAUCUGUCCUAAGGAAGAGCACAGACCUCGGGGUUUUUGUGGGAUAGAUGAGAAGUCUCCUUACCUGCCCUGGAGCCCAAGAUUUUAUUCCCCAUGCAGCAUGUGAACACAAACUCAGUAACAAGGCUGAAUUUAGUUCCAAAUGCUGCACUGGACAUCGAGGACUGGGUGAGUGCA
Zonotrichia leucophrys gambelii is the source of this 578-nucleotide long non-coding RNA. RefSeq lists it as uncharacterized. The transcript has 6 exons. Lineage: Eukaryota; Metazoa; Chordata; Aves; Passeriformes; Passerellidae. The record is from RefSeq and is a predicted model, not a curated record.